This 468-nucleotide ribosomal RNA is filed under the name Xerarionta tryoni. Its description in RNAcentral is "partial large subunit ribosomal RNA". It matches the Rfam family "Archaeal large subunit ribosomal RNA", at positions 1889 to 2688 of the family's 2987-position model. The record is from RNAcentral. Lineage: Eukaryota; Metazoa; Mollusca; Gastropoda; Stylommatophora; Helminthoglyptidae.
CGCCUGUUUAUCAAAAACAUAACAACAUGUAUUUAAUAUGUUGCUGCUUCUGCUCAAUGAUAUGUUAAAUAGCCGCAGUACCCUGACUGUGCAAAGGUAGCAUAAUCAAUUGGCUCAUAAUUGGAGUCUUGUAUGAAUGAAUAUUUGGUUAGUAGCUGUCUUAAUUAAUAUUAACAAAUUUAUUUAAUAAGUGAAAAUACUUAUAAAUAAAUAAAAGACGAGAAGACCCUAGAAAUUUUAAUAAUAUAGGACUCAUUUAUUUAUUUUUGUUGGGGCGACAGAAUAACAUUAAACUUAUUUUACAUUAUAAGCAUUUUAUUUAAUGAAAAUACAAAUUACUUUAGGGAUAACAGCAUAAUUUCUAUUAGUUUGUGACCUCGAUGUUGGAUUAGGAAGCUUAUUGUUUAAAAGGUAAUAAGUUAUGUUCUGUUCGAACAGUAUAUCCUACGUGAUCUGAGUUCAGACCGG